CGCACCUUGCGCCCUCUGGUAUUCCGGAGGGCAUGCCUGUUUGAGUGUCUUGAUAUCAUCAAUCCCUCGGGCUCGCGCCCGCUGCGGGUUGGAAUUGGGGGUCUGCUGCCGCGAGGCGGCUCCCCUUAAAAUCAUCGGUUUGGCCCGCAACAUGCGGCUAGCACCUUUGGCGUUGUAUUCUCCUCGCCUUUGAUCGGUCUUGCCCGCUUCCGCGCCUCACCUCGACUUGCCCUUUGGGUGGCGGUCAAUUCUUGACAAUCUGGCCUCAAAUCAGGUAGGACUACCCGCUGAACUUAA
Molecule: unclassified non-coding RNA, 297 nt
Filed under: Agaricomycetes sp.
Lineage: Eukaryota; Fungi; Basidiomycota; Agaricomycetes
Description: partial contains 5.8S ribosomal RNA, internal transcribed spacer 2, and large subunit ribosomal RNA
Source: RNAcentral